CUUUUGACAGCCUUGAGCUUUCCCGGGCAGGAACUUCCUGGGGCUGCAGUCAGCCUAGAAACAUGGCUUUGGGCUGUGGAAACGCUGCUACUGUGGAAGUCUCUUAUCGCGGGGUGGACGCGGUCGCUACGCGCCCAGCCUUCUUCUGUGGUUCUCACAGCCCGCCCCCACUUCCAUCUCGGGGACCUUUGCGGGGAGGCCUCAGGCUGGAGUAUAGUGGCAUGAUCAUAGAUCACUGCAGCCUCAAACUCCUGGGCUCAAGCAAUCCUCCCACCUCAGCCUCCAUAUAGCUGGUGGGGAUCAAGUUUCUAACACAUGAAUCUUGGGAGACACAUUCAGACCAUCACAGUGGCCUUAUAAAAAGAGACACAAGGGCUUGCUCUCUGCCAUGUGAGUAUACCACAAGAAGACUGUCCUCAGCAAAUCAGAGAGCAGGUGGACCCUCAUCAGACACCAGAUGUGCCUGCACCUUUAUCUUGGACUUGCCAGCCUUCAGAACAGUAAGAAAGAAAUGUGUGUUGUUUAAGCCGCCCAGUCUAUGGAAACUUGUUAUAGCACCCCACUAAGAGACCCCAAGAUAUUUAAAAACUCAUCAGCACCUGCCUUCUGCAUCUGGAUCCUGAUCUUCUGGCGGGUUUACCAGUUACUUGCAGAGUGUCCCUGUGAUAGUUUU
Molecule: long non-coding RNA, 673 nt
Filed under: Pongo abelii (Sumatran orangutan)
Lineage: Eukaryota; Metazoa; Chordata; Mammalia; Primates; Hominidae
Description: lincRNA
Source: RNAcentral